Long non-coding RNA from Anser brachyrhynchus (Pink-footed goose), 2002 nucleotides. The record is from Ensembl. NCBI's taxonomy places the organism in Eukaryota, Metazoa, Chordata, Aves, Anseriformes, Anatidae.
AUGCGGUGCCCUGCUCAGUGGCCAUGGCAUGUCGGAUGCUGGGGAGCAGCCUGGUGCGUGGCAUUGACACUGGCGCACCCAGCCUCUGCGGUGCUGGGCUUGGCUUCACGUGCCAUUGGGUGUGCAGAGGGGCUGGGACCCCGCGUGGGUCCUGCAGUGCACACCAGUCCCCGGGGCAGGCAGCAAGUACGCGCGGUGCGGCCACCAGCCCGUGGCAAGCUCUGGUCCCGCGCCUGCCCGCACCUCAGAGCCACGCUCCUCGCAGCGCCGCACCACCAAGCCUCCUCUUCCUCCCGCAGGGCCCUGGCCGUGCUCCAGCGCAGGACGCUCGGAGGUAAGGCUGAGCCUCCCCUCCCCUCUCCCCCCCUUGCCAGCAGCCACCCCCAGCCCGGCCGUGCCCCAGGGGGACGAGCGCUCGCCCCGCAGCCUGGAGCACCCCCGGCACUGCUGCCACUCGCCCCUCUGUGCUCCAGCAGGAUGUUGGCGGAGCGAGAGGAGCGUCGUAAAAGCCAAUUACAGAUGAGCGGGAAUCUCUUCAUCAAGCAGUUCUUGGUUUUGCUGCAUCAGACGCAGCCGGCUGAAGACAUCAAAAAGCAAUACAUAGAAAAGGUGCUGCACGCAGUGUUCUUCUUCGGAAGGGUGCACAAGAGGGUGGUGGAACCCACUGACUUCCUAGGGCCCGCAGUUUGCCAGACUCUGCAGGCGAAGUUCCCCAGACCGUUCCAACAGUACGGCACCCACCUCCCCGGCCUGACGCCCUACUCCAUCCUGCUGCAGUUCGGCUCUGAAGUAGCAGGCUGCAGCACCCAAGAGCAAAUGGAGUCUUUCUUGCGUGACUUUAACAAAACUCUGCAAGAAAAAUUGGAGCGAGAAGCCAACAUGAAGCCCAGUGAGUUCGUCUUCAGAGCUGCAAUUGUUGCCUUCAGCAUCUACAGAGACCCCGAGGAUGGAGCAGCCCCUCCUCUCUUUUAUGGAGCGUCCCUGUCCUGCAGCGGGCUGCUGGAGAAGAAGAUCAUGAUUGACGUCCUGUGCAUAAAGACGUGGCACAAGGCGGUGGCGUUCGCAGUGCACCACGCGGAGGACGAUCUGGCCAUCGUCUUCCCUGAUGGGGUAGAGUGCCGGGCCUUCUACUACAGUCACGGAGCCUUCGCGGAAAAGCAGCCCUGCAUGAAAUGCAGGGAGAUGUUCCACGUCGACUUCCAGCCACCCGCAGACAGCACCAAGGAAGAUUGCCCGUGGCCAUACGGUAACUGUGCCGAGAACGAGACCCUAAGCAAGCUGCUGCAGGGCAUCCCGGGGCUGCAGGAGAAGGUUGUCUCGACACACACUCCCCCCCAGCCAAACACCUACCAGGCCAUUGAACAAGAAUUUACAGGCAUCAUAGAAAACAGGUUUAGAAAUCACCUUGACCAGUUGCUUCACGAAAAUCAUUUUUCUUCUUACCUUCCUCUGCAAUUCUUUUGAACCCAGGUGAGUGCUGGAGAGGUAGCCACAGGCCGGUGCUUGCUGCAGCUCACGAGAUACCCCUGACUGCAGCACCCUUGCAGCUCCGCCUGCCCCCACCCAUGAACUCCCGCAGACCCCCACCUUUGCACAGGCUCCCCCGGGCCACCUCGCUGCGCUCUGUCUGGUGCAAGGCACGCGGGGCCACAGCGGUCAGGAGCGCUGCAGGCCUGCAGCCCCAGCCCAGGCUCCCAGCCCCACUGACCCAAGCACUACAACUGCUCUUGCAGACGGUACCAGCACAGCCCCAGCAGGAGGGCAGGAAAGCCUUCUCACCCUGCCUUUAUGUUGCUUCCAAAACCAGGCUACGUGCUCACAGCAGCAGAGUCUGGACAGGGCACAGAAGAGGCAAAAGCGCAGCCUCUGAAUGGCACGAGGCAGCCCAGCUCCAUGUCUGCAAACUGCGCAGCGAUGGGGUAUCCGUUUGUUCCUUGCUAGGCUCAGCAGCACAGGGCUCUGCUUUUAAUCUGUGUAAAUAAAGAUGCGUAUGUGAUUUUCA